CCCUUAGAUGUUCUGGGCCGCACGCGCGCUACACUGACGAAUGCAACGAGCUUAUAACCUUGGCCGAAAGGUCUGGGUAAUCUCCAAAUUUCGUCGUGUUGGGGAUAGAUUAUUGCAAUUAUUAAUCUUCAACGAGGAAUGCCUAGUAAGCGCAAGUCAUCAGCUUGCGUUGAUUACGUCCCUGCCCUUUGUACACACCGCCCGUCGCUCCUACCGAUUGAAUGGUCCGGUGAAGCGUUCGGACCGUGGCCUUUGGACGGUUCGCCGUCUGUUGGCUGCGGGAAGUUCGUUAAACCUUAUCAUUUAGAGGAAGGAGAAGUCGUAACA
Molecule: ribosomal RNA, 327 nt
Filed under: uncultured eukaryote
Lineage: Eukaryota
Description: partial 18S ribosomal RNA
Rfam family: Eukaryotic small subunit ribosomal RNA
Source: RNAcentral